This 529-nucleotide long non-coding RNA is filed under the name Neogale vison (American mink). RNAcentral describes it as "Neovison vison (American mink) lncRNA (ENSNVIG00000002441.1)". The record is from RNAcentral. Lineage: Eukaryota; Metazoa; Chordata; Mammalia; Carnivora; Mustelidae.
UCCUUGAUAGCCCCGCCGGCGGCCGCCGAGGUCGGCGCUCUCGCCUCGUCUCCUCCCCCGGCUGGGGACCCUCUCCUCUCCCCUCCCUUGCCCCCUCCUCUCGCCGCCGCCUCCUCCUCCUUGUCCGAGCGGCUAGCUGCGAGGAGGCGUAACGGAAAGCCCCGGCGUGGGGAAGGCUGCGAGCUCGGAGCCGGAGACGCGGAGCCGGGGUCGGGUCGGCGGGGAAGCAGACUCUUGAAUUCACAGCUGGCUUAUGAUUUUGCCUCUUGUUACAGAGCACUCACACAGGUGGCAUUUUUCUGAAGUUGUUCAUUGACACUUCCCAGCAUUUCUGCAGAUAAAAUAGGUGAGGCCGCGCUCCGAGCUCGGACAUGGCAGCAUGACGGCCCGGGACCGCGCUGCCAGAGGCCGGCCAGGAGGAGCCCCCGGCUGCGGGAGCGAGCGCCCGGAGCAGCGACUGCUUCCUGAGGCCGCCUGAGCCUCCUUCCCACCCGCCGGCUGUUACUGUUCACCCCGUGGAGUCCUGACU